CAAGAGUUAUCCAACUCCCAAAACCCAUGGUGAACUUAUCUCUUUGUUGCCUCGGCGCAGCUACCCGGGACAUCUCGCGCCCCGGGCGGGCCCGCCGGCGGACAAACCAAAACUCUUGUUAUCUUAGUUGAUUAUCUGAGUGUCUUAUUUAAUAAGUCA
Molecule: unclassified non-coding RNA, 159 nt
Filed under: soil metagenome
Description: partial internal transcribed spacer 1
Source: RNAcentral